AACGAACGCUGGCGGCAGGCUUAACACAUGCAAGUCGAACGCCCCGCCAGGGGAGUGGCAGACGGGUGAGUACCGCGUGGGAACAUACCCUUUUCUACGGAAUAGCUCUGGGAAACUGGAAUUAAUACCGUAUACGCCCUACGGGGGAAAGAUUUAUCGGGGAAGGAUUGGCCCGCGUUGGAUUAGCUAGUUGGUGGGGUAAAGGCCUACCAAGGCGACGAUCCAUAGCUGGUCUGAGAGGAUGAUCAGCCACAUUGGGACUGAGACACGGCCCAAACUCCUACGGGAGGCAGCAGUGGGGAAUAUUGGACAAUGGGCGCAAGCCUGAUCCAGCCAUGCCGCGUAAGUGAUGAAGGCCUUAGGGUUGUAAAGCUCUUUCACCGAUGAAGAUAAUGACGGUAGUCGGAGAAGAAGCCCCGGCUAACUUCGUG
RNAcentral lists this ribosomal RNA (431 nucleotides) under uncultured bacterium. RNAcentral describes it as "partial 16S ribosomal RNA". It matches the Rfam family "Bacterial small subunit ribosomal RNA", at positions 29 to 507 of the family's 1533-position model. The record is from RNAcentral.